GGGGUUGUGGCUCGGUGGUAGAGCACUUGCCUGGCAUGUGUGAGCCCUGGGUUCAAUCCCCAGCACCACA
This 70-nucleotide transfer RNA is filed under the name Marmota monax (woodchuck). Its description in RNAcentral is "tRNA.Ala". It matches the Rfam family "tRNA". From Rfam's summary of the family: Transfer RNA (tRNA) molecules are approximately 80 nucleotides in length. Their secondary structure includes four short double-helical elements and three loops (D, anti-codon, and T loops). Further hydrogen bonds mediate the characteristic L-shaped molecular structure. tRNAs have two regions of fundamental functional importance: the anti-codon, which is responsible for specific mRNA codon recognition, and the 3' end, to which the tRNAs corresponding amino acid is attached (by aminoacyl-tRNA synthetases). tRNAs cope with the degeneracy of the genetic code in two manners: having more than one tRNA (with a specific anti-codon) for a particular amino acid; and 'wobble' base-pairing, i.e. permitting non-standard base-pairing at the 3rd anti-codon position. The record is from RNAcentral. Lineage: Eukaryota; Metazoa; Chordata; Mammalia; Rodentia; Sciuridae.